This 260-nucleotide ribosomal RNA is filed under the name uncultured bacterium. RNAcentral describes it as "partial 16S ribosomal RNA". It matches the Rfam family "Bacterial small subunit ribosomal RNA", at positions 95 to 354 of the family's 1533-position model. The record is from RNAcentral.
UUGGCGAACGGGUGAGUAACACGUGAGCAACCUGCCCUAUACAACGGGAUAACACAGAGAAAUUUGUGCUAAUACGGUAUAAGACCACAGUAUCGCAUGAUACAGGGGUAAAAGAUUUAUCGGUAUAGGAUGGGCUCGCGACCCAUUAGCUAGUUGGUGAGGUAACGGCCCACCAAGGCAACGAUGGGUAGCCGACCUGAGAGGGGUGAUCGGCCACACUGGGACUGAGACACGGCCCAGACUCCUACGGGAGGCAGCAG